ACCAUUCCCGUCUGACCUAACCCCCCUUUUUUAUAUUUUUCUUCGAAAGACAAUUGGUUUCCAUGAUCAUUGCCGCUUUUGAAUUUUUUUUAUAUGUUUUCCUGAUUUUCAUACAAUUUUUUGAAAACUCGAAAAAUCUCUCCAAUUUGAUAUAAAAAUCGCCGUGCGAAGUAGUGUGCCCACCCCUUGUCUGUGGAGAGGGUUUUAAGUGUGGAGAUUAGGUUCCAACCCUGUCGUCAAACUGACAUGCUUGUUGACAUGUUUACAUUUUGAAAUGUCAUACCCGUUCGCUACUUGCCUUCGGAUUAGAAACCAGUUUGGAAUUAUUUUUUAUCCGUGAUUCCGGCAAGGAAUUCCGGUGCAUUCCUUAUUCCAAUAAAAAGUUCAAGCACGACAGCCGAUUCCGUUCACCCUCGUUGGUUUUACCGCUUCUAAUCUGUACACGGACUCCCGCCAAUCACACCCAAAAACGGUGAUUGCUCAUCAAACAAGCACACCACGGCGCAGCCAAAACAUUGCAGCUUUCCACCGGACAAGACCUGAAUCUUCCUAUCUCGAAUGUUGUAGAUCCAGAUCGGUUCUGAUAUGGAACUGAGACCAAGGUGUUCCCCCUGCAGAAACCGAGGGAUACCGGUAGCAGCAGAAACGAGCACAGCAAUAGCCGGAAUGGAAAUCUAUUGAGAAUGAAAAACCGAUUGCAACAAUUUGGCGAAUCGGAACUGGUGAAUGCCGAACGGCAGCAGCAGCGAAAAAAGGUACGAUCCCGAGGACGAUGAUUGAUAAGAAGCAGAGAACAUGGGUCAUGCUUCCCGAGGAAAAAGAAGCGAAUGGAAGUGGAACUUAAUAUCACCGAGGUCGAUUUUAAUGACGAUCUGAAUGCAGUAUCCGGUCCCAGUGGUCUCAGUAUCUCGGUCAUGGAUCGUCGCAGUUCCGUUCCGGCAGGGUAGCGUCAGGUGUACAACUUCCCCAACACAUUCCACGCGUUUCGUUUUGUACGAUUGUGUGUAAGAAUCAAACUUUUGCUUUCAAAAAUUAUUGUUGAAAACAGUUGUAAAUUAUAUACCAACCAACAUAUCAAAAGAUCAUAUUUGAAUAGAAAAUUCAAUUUGUGCUUUCUAAUUGCA
Long non-coding RNA from Aedes albopictus (Asian tiger mosquito), 1124 nucleotides. RefSeq lists it as uncharacterized. The record is from RefSeq and is a predicted model, not a curated record. Lineage: Eukaryota; Metazoa; Arthropoda; Insecta; Diptera; Culicidae. The transcript is spliced from 2 exons.